Molecule: ribosomal RNA, 491 nt
Filed under: uncultured bacterium
Lineage: Bacteria
Description: bacterial SSU rRNA
Rfam family: Bacterial small subunit ribosomal RNA
Source: RNAcentral
AUUGAACGCUGGCGGUAUGCUUAACACAUGCAAGUCGAACGGUAGCAGGCCUUCGGGCGCUGACGAGUGGCGGACGGGUGAGUAACGCGUAGGAAUCUGCCUCAUAGUGGGGGACAACGUGGGGAAACUCACGCUAAUACCGCAUACGCCCUACGGGGAAAGCGGGGGAUCUUCGGACCUCGCGCUAUGAGAUGAGCCUGCGUUAGAUUAGCUAGUUGGUAGGGUAAAGGCCUACCAAGGCGACGAUCUAUAGCUGGUCUGAGAGGACGAUCAGCCACACUGGGACUGAGACACGGCCCAGACUCCUACGGGAGGCAGCAGUGGGGAAUAUUGGACCAAUGGGCGCAAGCCUGAUCCAGCAAUACCGCGUGUGUGAAGAAGGCCUUAGGGUUGUAAAGCACUUUCAAUUGGGAGGAAAACCUGUCGGUCAAUACCCGGCAGCUUGACAUUAUCUUUAGAAGAAGCACCGGCUAACUCCGUGCCAGCAGCCG